UGGGGAAUAUUGGACAAUGGGCGAAAGCCUGAUCCAGCCACGCCGCGUGUGUGAUGAAGGCCUUCGGGUCGUAAAGCACUGUGGGGAGGGAAGAACGCAAUGACGGUACCUCCUUAGCAAGCACCGGCUAACUCCGUGCCAGCAGCCGCGGUAAUACGGAGGGUGCAAACGUUGCUCGGAAUCAUUGGGCGUAAAGCGCACGUAGGCGGUCAGGUGUGUCGGAUGUGAAAGCCCUCGGCUCAACCGAGGAAGUGCAUCCGAAACUACCUGGCUUGAGUACGGGAGGGGGUAGCGGAAUUCCCGGUGUAGAGGUGAAAUUCGUAGAUAUCGGGAGGAACACCAGUGGCGAAGGCGGCUACCUGGACCGAUACUGACGCUGAGGUGCGAAAGCGUGGGGAGCAAACA
This 405-nucleotide ribosomal RNA is filed under the name uncultured bacterium. Its description in RNAcentral is "bacterial SSU rRNA". It matches the Rfam family "Bacterial small subunit ribosomal RNA", at positions 355 to 774 of the family's 1533-position model. The record is from RNAcentral.